CAGUUCUUUACAGUUUCUUCAAUAGAUAGUUACCACCAUCUUUUUCUGCCCAUUAUCUCCACAAUUCAAGCCUCCUAACAUGGGUAGGGCCCUCAAUUCAGUUGAAUCGUAUUAUUAUAUAAUGCAGUUCCAUCCAAAAAAAUCACUCCACCUCUGGCAUCUGUAUUAGGGCUCUUUUCUGAACCUUGAUUGCAUUUGAUGGUGCGAUUCAUCCACAAUCUAUGGACAUCAGAUGCACGACCUAAUUGUAAAUCAUAGCCCUGCAAUCAUCACUAGACUUGGGAACAUAGGCGUGCACCGUAAGCGUCCUGGAGGUCGAUGUACUACCGAAGGCAUGCACCACCAGCAGAUCCUCUUUGAACAGAUGCUAUCCCAGUUUCUAAUUGAAGACUCAUCCUUGCACCAGAUUAUAUCCUCGCUUUAAUAGUUGAUUGAUGAACCAUAAUUUUUUCCUUAUCAACAAUUUCAAGAGAAGAAACUCGAGGUUGUGGGGAGAUGACUUUUAUGAUUUCGGUUCAAUUGGAUGCCUUGCUAAUGACAAUAAUGUGAAUUAAAAUUUUGGAUAUCUGCAAUUGAUUUGAUGCAAUUAACAAAUGUAGAAGAUUUUAUGGAUUUGAUUAUGUUUUCCAACAGCGUGUGGUACAUGUCUUGAAGGUAAGUCAUUAGAUAAGAUACUUUUGAUCCAUUUUUUAUUGUCAAAUUUAUUAUUUUUAGACACGGCAGAACUUAAGUUUUGUCUUACUGUGUGGAUUCAUAUGAAGAAAAGCCAAAAAUAAUCACCAAAUGUGAGCAUCAUUUUUAUUUUCAUUUUCAUUUUCAAGUCUUUGAAUAAAAACAUUUAAACAAGUAAACUGUAUCUAUUCUUGCAUGUUUAUACUAAAGGGAAUGUGACAAGCAGAUCUCGAAAUCAAAAUAUGGAAGUCUUCUAUUUUGUAAGAUUAUUUAUGUUAUCAUCAUUUUUUCAUACAUUGAAACUUGCAUAUAAUAUAACCCUUAAUGUUAUUUUGGCUCCUCAUCCCUAAAUAAAGAUCUGAGGUGACAGAAUGUGCGGAUUGACCAGGUUGGGUAAUAGGUCAAAAUGGGGUCAGGUUAUGUGCGGAUUAAACAGGGUCUGCCGGUCUGGUGACACCUUGGUGAUUAUGGGAUUAAUCAAAGCAUAAAAUCCUCUUAAAAAGUCUGUGGUUUUGGCUCAUCUAUGCACGUUGAGGUGGCCACAAUGACCAUUUGUAUGGGAUAGCAGCAUACAUCUCCAAAAGUUGUACAUAUCAUGUUGCAUUUUGUCAUUUAAUGAUUAUUAUAUAAAUAUUUAAUCUUUCUUUAUAUGUUUGUUUAAUAGGUUGUUCUUUUUAGAACCGUAUCCACCAUCCCAAAUUUCUCCCAAGAAUUCUGCACUAUUUUCAUUGGUAUCGCAAACAUUAGAAAUGAGGUUGUCACAUAUGGCUGGGCAAAGGUAGUUUAAAUUCCAUUACCAGCAUAUAUAAUUAAUUAUUUUAUCUUUGCUUUCAACAUAGCUUCAUGUUCACUUACUAAUUACAAGUUAAGGAGGCUUAAGGAGAAGUGACCCCUGAGCAUACCAAGCUGCUACACCUUGAAAAACAAGCUAGACAACAGGGUGUAGGUUUACGGGACAUGUCUCUAGGAUAUGUUGAGGCUGCUAUCAAGUACCUCCCCUCAUCUGUUGUUGGUGAUCCUAGCAAUCUAGAUGCCAUUGGUCUCCCAAUCAACGGAUCACUACCUGAGAAUCAUGGUUUUAAGACAAUCUACUCUUUUUCGGAGAUUUGAGGUUGAUUUAAGUUAAUCUUCCAAGCAAAUAUAUAAACUGCCACAUUUGUUGAGACAGGUGGAUUACAUCCGGGUAAUGGAAUUUAUUUUUCUUGAGAUGUAAUGUUCUUUUUAAGUUUUGUUCUUAUCACAAAAUUAAUAGCAUUAUGCUUGUGUUAAGCUUUAUAUAUAUCACAUCUACUAUUUUUGUUUCUUGAAUUGUUUGACUUCCAGAUUAUUGAAUGUAGUCUAUCUAAGAGGCAAAAUGGGAAGAAAGAUCCAUCUAAAAUUGAAUUGUUUGACCGAUGGGUCAAAAUGGGUUGGACUGGUCAACACCUUUUGUAUACUCUAUUUUUUCUAUAUAUUUUGUAAAUCUUGUGAUUCAACCUUUAAUGAAGCAUAUAUAUUUUGCGAA
Helianthus annuus (common sunflower) is the source of this 2176-nucleotide long non-coding RNA. RefSeq lists it as uncharacterized. The transcript is spliced from 5 exons. Lineage: Eukaryota; Viridiplantae; Streptophyta; Magnoliopsida; Asterales; Asteraceae. The record is from RefSeq and is a predicted model, not a curated record.